This 329-nucleotide unclassified non-coding RNA is filed under the name Hevea brasiliensis (rubber tree). The record is from RNAcentral. Lineage: Eukaryota; Viridiplantae; Streptophyta; Magnoliopsida; Malpighiales; Euphorbiaceae.
AGGGAUGAAUCUAUUGAACAGACCUCCAGAAUUGGUUUAUCAUCAACGACUAGCAUGAAACCUUCAAAUUCAGCCUCGUCUUCCAUGUCAUCUCAUAUGGACACUAGCACAUUGUUAACUUCUCGGACACUUUCUGUGACAUCUCCGCUUGGGCUAGGAAACAACGGAAAGACUCCUGUGAAAAAGCCUUCCAUUGGACAGAAGAAGCCCCUUGAUGCGCUAGGUUCCUCACCUCCACCUUCGGGAAAGAAGCAAAAGGUGUCGGGAGGUUUCCUAGAUCAGAGCAUUGAACAACUUAAUGAUGUUACUGCUGUUAGUGGAGUUAAUCU